CAAAAUAUGGCGUGUAGAAUCUUUCUGCCAUGACAUUUGUUGGGGGAGUAAAUUAUCCAGAUUCUGAAGCCUGGCCUCUUUAUAUAUUUCAGCUUGCCUUCUAUUGGAAUAGUAAGGGUUGAUUACAAGGCCAUUCUGAGGAUUUCGAGUUGCGAGAAACGGAUUUUGACGAUUUGGAUUUGUCGUCCAUGCAUUUGGAUUUUCAGGCGGAAACUUUUUAAAAAAGUUUCCUAAUUGGAUAGGAAGCCGUUCCAAAGCUUCCUUGGUAAAGACUGGCAUGAUAAGGUUAAAACCUCUUUAAUCUAUAGAGAAGCUCAAAAAGACAGUGAGUCAAGCACUAUUAGUAUUAGAAAAUACAUUGACCUAAGAUGUCGGCAAACGUUUAACUGCGCUAUAUUACGUUAAAUCAAUCAUUACUGUUCAUUCUUGAGUUCUUAAUCGAAACUUUUCAUCGUUUGAAAUAUUAAAAGAGUUUAUUAUCUCAGACAAUUCUAAGCCAAUUUAUUGACUAUUAGCGUUUAUUAGGUCGGACUAAUUCU
This is a non-coding RNA of Schizosaccharomyces pombe (fission yeast), 539 nucleotides long. The record is from the annotation of a GenBank genome assembly. Lineage: Eukaryota; Fungi; Ascomycota; Schizosaccharomycetes; Schizosaccharomycetales; Schizosaccharomycetaceae.